RNAcentral lists this ribosomal RNA (445 nucleotides) under uncultured bacterium. RNAcentral's name for it is "partial 16S ribosomal RNA". It matches the Rfam family "Bacterial small subunit ribosomal RNA", at positions 354 to 796 of the family's 1533-position model. The record is from RNAcentral.
GUGAGGAAUAUUGGUCAAUGGGCGAGAGCCUGAACCAGCCAAGUCGCGUGAAGGAAGAAGGAUCUAUGGUUCGUAAACUUCUUUUGCAGGGGAAUAAAGUGCAGGACGUGUCCUGUUUUGUAUGUACCCUGAGAAUAAGGAUCGGCUAACUCCGUGCCAGCAGCCGCGGUAAUACGGAGGAUCCGAGCGUUAUCCGGAUUUAUUGGGUUUAAAGGGUGCGUAGGUGGUUUGAUAAGUCAGCGGUGAAAGUUUGCAGCUUAACUGUAAAAAUGCCGUUGAAACUGGCGGACUUGAGUGUAAAUGAGGUAGGCGGAAUGCGUGGUGUAGCGGUGAAAUGCAUAGAUAUCACGCAGAACUCCGAUUGCGAAGGCAGCUUACUAAGCUACAACUGACACUGAAGCACGAAAGCGUGGGGAUCAAACAGGAUUAGAUACCCGGGUAGUCC